This 514-nucleotide ribosomal RNA is filed under the name uncultured bacterium. RNAcentral's name for it is "partial 16S ribosomal RNA". It matches the Rfam family "Bacterial small subunit ribosomal RNA", at positions 28 to 523 of the family's 1533-position model. The record is from RNAcentral.
GACGAACGCUGGCGGCGUGCCUAAUACAUGCAAGUCGAGCGAAUGGAUUAAGAGCUUGCUCUUAUGAAGUUAGCGGCGGACGGGUGAGUAACACGUGGGUAACCUGCCCAUAAGACUGGGAUAACUCCGGGAAACCGGGGCUAAUACCGGAUAACAUUUUGAACCGCCUGGUUCGAAAUUGAAAGGCGGCUUCGGCUGUCACUUAUGGAUGGACCCGCGUCGCAUUAGCUAGUUGGUGAGGUAACGGCUCACCAAGGCAACGAUGCGUAGCCGACCUGAGAGGGUGAUCGGCCACACUGGGACUGAGACACGGCCCAGACUCCUACGGGAGGCAGCAGUAGGGAAUCUUCCGCAAUGGACGAAAGUCUGACGGAGCAACGCCGCGUGAGUGAUGAAGGCUUUCGGGUCGUAAAACUCUGUUGUUAGGGAAGAACAAGUGCUAGUUGAAUAAGCUGCACCUUGACGGUACCUAACCAGAAAGCCACGGCUAACUACGUGCCAGCCGCCGCCGUAA